GGGGUACGUUAUCGGAUUAUUGGGCGUAAGCGAGCGCAGGCGGUUUUUUAAGUCUGAUGUGAAAGCCUUCGGCUCAACCGAAGAAGUGCAUCGGAAACUGGGAAACUUGAGUGCAGAAGAGGACAGUGGAACUCCAUGUGUAGCGGUGAAAUGCGUAGAAAUAUGGAAGAACACCAGUGGCGAAGGCGGCUGUCUGGUCUGUAACUGACGCUGAGGCUCGAAAGUAUGGGUAGCAAACAGGAUUAGAUACCCUGGUAGUCCAUACCGUAAACGAUGAAUGCUAAGUGUUGGAGGGUUUCCGCCCUUCAGUGCUGCAGCUAACGCAUUAAGCAUUCCGCCUGGGGAGUACGGCCGCAAGGCUGAAACUCAAAGGAAUUGACGGGGGCCCGCACAAGCGGUGGAGCAUGUGGUUUAAUUCGAAGCUACGCGAAGAACCUUACCAGGUCUUGACAUACUAUGCAAAUCUAAGAGAUUAGACGUUCCCUUCGGGGACAUGGAUACAGGUGGUGCAUGGUUGUCGUCAGCUCGUGUCGUGAGAUGUUGGGUUAAGUCCCGCAACGAGCGCAACCCUUAUUAUCAGUUGCCAGCAUUAAGUUGGGCACUCUGGUGAGACUGCCGGUGACAAACCGGAGGAAGGUGGGGAUGACGUCAAAUCAUCAUGCCCCUUAUGACCUGGGCUACACACGUGCUACAAUGGAUGGUACAACGAGUUGCGAACUCGCGAGAGUAAGCUAAUCUCUUAAAGCCAUUCUCAGUUCGGAUUGUAGGCUGCAACUCGCCUACAUGAAGUCGGAAUCGCUAGUAAUCGCGGAUCAGCAUGCCGCGGUGAAUACGUUCCCGGGCCUUGUACACACCGCCCGUCACACCAUGAGAGUUUGUAACACCCAAAGUCGGUGGGGUAACCUUUUAGGAACCAGCCGCCUAAGGUGGGACAGAUGAUUAGGGGUGAAGUCGUAACAAGGUAGCCGUAGGAGAACCUGCGCUGGUCACCCCCCUCUUUUAAAAAAAAAAACCCCCCCCUUUAAAUUUUGACUCCGGGCCCC
RNAcentral lists this ribosomal RNA (1043 nucleotides) under Lactiplantibacillus plantarum. Its description in RNAcentral is "bacterial SSU rRNA". It matches the Rfam family "Bacterial small subunit ribosomal RNA", at positions 533 to 1533 of the family's 1533-position model. The record is from RNAcentral. Lineage: Bacteria; Bacillati; Bacillota; Bacilli; Lactobacillales; Lactobacillaceae.